AGGCUGAGUCUGCCAAGCAAGCUGUCGCCCCGCUUCCUCUUUGACGGCGCUUUUAUCCUCUGGACGCUGCCAUCAGGGGCUGCUUUACCUCUCAGAAAUCCUCAGAAAGAAUAUUCCAGGGCAAUACCCGGCAGUGUCACCUGCUCCUGGAUGUCUUCAACUCCACCGAGCAUGAGCUGACGGUCAGCACCAGGAGCAGCGAGGCGCUCAUCCUGCACGCCGGCGAGUGCCAGCGAAUGGCUAUUCAAGUGGACAAGUUCAACUUUGAGAGUUUCCCGGAGUCCCCUGGGGAGAAGGGGCAAUUUGCAAACCCCAAGCAGCUGGAGGAAGAGCGGCGGGAAGCCCGAGGCCUGGAGAUCCACAGCAAGCUGGGCAUCUGCUGGAGAAUCCCCUCCCUGAAGCGCAGCGGCGAGGCGAGUGUGGAAGGACUCCUGAACCAGCUCGUCCUGGAGCACCUGCAGCUGGCGCCUCUGCAGUGGGAUGUGCUGGUGGACGGACAGCCAUGUGACCGCGAGGCUGCGGCGGCCUGCCAGGUGGGCGACCCCGUGCGCCUGGAGGUGCGGCUGACCAACCGGAGCCCGCGCAGCGUA
Molecule: small RNA, 590 nt
Filed under: Pan troglodytes (chimpanzee)
Lineage: Eukaryota; Metazoa; Chordata; Mammalia; Primates; Hominidae
Description: processed transcript
Source: RNAcentral